GGAUUAGAUACCCUGGUAGUCCACGCUGUAAACGAUGAGUGCUAAUUCUGGGGGGUUUCCCCGGGGUAAAGCUAACGCGUUAAGCACUCCGCCUGGGUAGUACGAUCGCAAGAUUAAAACUCAAAGGAAUUGACGGGGGUCCGUACAAGCGGUGGAGCAUGUGGUUUAAUUCGAUGAUAACCGAAAAACCUUACCAGCUCUUGACAUGUACAUUGGGAUUUCAUGAAAAUGGGUCUUCAUUUAGUUGGGUGUACACAGGUGUUGCAUGGCUGUCGUCAGCUCGUGCCG
This 288-nucleotide ribosomal RNA is filed under the name uncultured bacterium. RNAcentral describes it as "partial 16S ribosomal RNA". It matches the Rfam family "Bacterial small subunit ribosomal RNA", at positions 775 to 1067 of the family's 1533-position model. The record is from RNAcentral.